AAUCAACGCUGGCGGCGUGCCUAACACAUGCAAGUCGAGCGAGAAAGUGGUAGCAAUACCAUGAGUAAAGCGGCGCACGGGUGAGUAACACGUGACUAACCUACCCUCGAGUGGGGAAUAACUUCGGGAAACCGAGGCUAAUACCGCAUAAUACCCACGGGUCAAAGGAGAAAUCCGCUUGAGGAGGGGGUCGCGGCCGAUUAGUUAGUUGGCAGGGUAAUGGCCUACCAAGACGAUGAUCGGUAUCCGGCCUGAGAGGGCGCACGGACACACUGGAACUGAAACACGGUCCAGACUCCUACGGGAGGCAGCAGUGGGGAAUUUUGCGCAAUGGGGGAAACCCUGACGCAGCAACGCCGCGUGGAGGAUGAAGUCCUUCGGGACGUAAACUCCUUUCGAUCGGGACGAUUAUGACGG
Molecule: ribosomal RNA, 417 nt
Filed under: bacterium Ellin601
Lineage: Bacteria; Pseudomonadati; Acidobacteriota; Terriglobia; Terriglobales; Acidobacteriaceae
Description: bacterial SSU rRNA
Rfam family: Bacterial small subunit ribosomal RNA
Source: RNAcentral